UCCUCCCUCUGUCGGCGUGCCUAAUACAUGCAAGUUGAGCGCUGAAGGUUGGUACUUGUACCGACUGGAUGAGCAGCGAACGGGUGAGUAACGCGUGGGGAAUCUGCCUUUGAGCGGGGGACAACAUUUGGAAACGAAUGCUAAUACCGCAUAAAAACUUUAAACACAAGUUUUAAGUUUGAAAGAUGCAAUUGCAUCACUCAAAGAUGAUCCCGCGUUGUAUUAGCUAGUUGGUGAGGUAACGGCUCACCAAGGCGAUGAUACAUAGCCGACCUGAGAGGGUGAUCGGCCACAUGGGGACUGAGACACGGCCCAAACUCCGACGGGAGGCAGCAGUAGGGAAUCUUCGGCAAUGGACGAAAGUCUGACCGAGCAACGCCGCGUGAGGGAAGAAGGUUUUCGGAUCGUAAAACUCUGUUGGUAGAGAAGAACGUUGGUGAGAGUGGAAAGCUCAUCAAGUGACGGUAACUACCCAGAAAGGGACGGCUAACUACGUG
Molecule: ribosomal RNA, 497 nt
Filed under: uncultured bacterium
Lineage: Bacteria
Description: partial 16S ribosomal RNA
Rfam family: Bacterial small subunit ribosomal RNA
Source: RNAcentral